AAAAUCACCACUCCUUUUUCAUCUCUCAAAUCCAACCGUUUAUAAUUUUUUCACAAUCGUCCGAUAAACCAAAGAUUCCACUAUAUAAACUUUCCUUCUCUCCUCACCCGCCUCAUCUUUCAUGCCCGCUAUUAUUCUCUCUCUCACAUAAGAAGCGUUUCUCUUGGAUCUGUUCCUCCCUAUUAGACCAGGCCGUUUCUUCUUCCACGUUUCGAUUAUGGCAUUUUGCCGUUUCGAUCACCGUUCUCCAAUAUCAGAUUCCACUAUUCAAACGUUUCGAUUACCGUUUCUUAUUCGCUUUAGAUCCACAGAGUUCGGAUGAAGGUACCACAAAGAAGCUUUAGAUUCCACUAUUCAAACGUUUUGUUUGGUAUAUCUGCUUCUUUGAAUCUUGAAUCGACGCAACUCUUGUUUUUCCAUUCAGUUCGUCACGACCGUUACGAAUCUCAAUCUCAGCGAUUCAAUUUCGAUGAAUAGCAUAUAAAUUUCUUGACCAGAGUAUUUUCAAGAAAUGGUGACAUGGCUGAGGAUCUUUGAUUAUAACGCAAGGAUUAUACUUUCGGGACCAAUUCAAUUCGACGAAUAGCACAUAUAUUUCUUCACCAGAGUAUUUUCAAGAAAUGGUGACGUGUCCGAGGAUCAGAUCGUUGGCGAUGGAUUUUGAUUAUCGCACAAGGAUUUACUUGCGGGGACCGUUGAUUGUGAAGAUAAAAUAGACAGGCUGGUUGGUUUGUAUAAGCUUAUGAGAGAAGUUUGGCAUAUAUGUUGUGUUGUUUAUAUCAAUCAAUCAAUCAAUCAAUCUGAUGGAGAGAAGCGAGAGAGGUAUAAUAUAAUAUGUGUUGUUAUCAAUCGACCUUUGCCAUGACGGGUGCGCUUGCAUGGCAGGUCAAAACCACACUUAAUAAAAUUUUCUAUUUUUUGGGUUUUGGAGGGAGACGGCCCAGCCCUUUUUUUCCAUUUUGGGCUUUUGGGCCGGGCUCCUCCCUUGCGUGCGUGUUUCUCUCUCUCUUUUUUUUUUUUUUUUUUUAAUUAAUCUCUCUCUCAAAAGUCAAAAGACUCAAAACGCAAAAAACUAGCAUACAUUACCCUAUACAGACAAGCGUGGCCAGAAUAGCUGCUCUUUAUGCUGCCCAUCCAAAAGGUUCAUUAACACAAAAGGUAAUUGCAAAUUUGCAAUAUUUAAUUUCCAAUCUAUUACAAUUUACAGCCCAAUUAUUUGAGCAAGCUUAAUAAUUUUGAGCAUAUUAUCAGCAUGAAAGAACACAUAAAUUUUCAACUACAAUAUGCUCCACAACGUGCUUCAUUUUAUUUUAAAAAAUAAGGAUAUGCUAUUCCUUUUAUUCAUAAUCGUGGAUCCAACUGGAGGUGGCAUGCAUAGAGAAAUAUAAUAAAUAAUAUCAGCAACUAAGCAAAUGAGUUGGUACUUUGCAUUUUUAUUUACCAAAUGUUAGCACAAUGCCACAAGCUAUUACUCCCAUAAUUUUCAUUCUACCACACAAUUACAAUUGGUUACUUACAAUUGCAUAUGAAUGGGGAGGAAUCAUAUUUCGGACUAGAAUUAUUCAAUGCCUUUGUGCGCUGGUCAUUUAUUAUUUUACAAGUCGUGUUUGGACUUAAUGCUUUAUAUGUUCCUCAUUUAGGAUUCGAGUGUUCAGUACAGUUUGUACUCAACUUCUGUAUCUGUUUAUCAAUUGUGGGGUGUAAAGCUUUGUAUUACAUAAUGUAACCGUAUAAAGUGGCGUGCUCUCAAGUUGCUUAACCAGAAUCACUGCUGUUCAAGUUCUGGGCCUAGUUGUGGAUUCUUCAUAUGUAUGGUUGAUCAAUUCUAUGACUUGCAGAAAUCUGCUGCUUUGACUCCUAACUUGCCCGGACGUUUUAUGCUAGCUAUAACAGCGAAGGGAAUAUGUCUCUUGAGACAGCUCGUAUUAUGGUGUAUUCUGGUCAGUUCUGCUGUGGAGUGCCUCUUUGUACUUGUGUAACUGUGUUGGGGCUGAAGUCUUUGUUAAUGUAGAUUUUCCCUUUGAAAUUCCUCAAGGCGUUUGUUUGUUGUGAAGCAAAUUGCUUUAGCUUCCAGAAUUAUGAUGCCUUUUCAAAGUUGCUCUAGUUCACGAACCAGGAUAAAGAUAACCGUUUGUUAUUCCAAUGUCAUGUCAUUUAGCUCGACACUUUUGCUGGUAUUUUCUAGCUUCCUGUAAUAUGUUACUUUAUUUGUCAUUGCUUGAAUGUUAAAAAGUAAAUGUCUCUCUACCCAUCAUAUUUUGGGUUGUUGUUAUUGUUGA
Molecule: long non-coding RNA, 2279 nt
Organism: Quercus lobata
Lineage: Eukaryota; Viridiplantae; Streptophyta; Magnoliopsida; Fagales; Fagaceae
Exons: 4
Source: RefSeq, a predicted model, not a curated record